RNAcentral lists this long non-coding RNA (841 nucleotides) under Callithrix jacchus (white-tufted-ear marmoset). RNAcentral's name for it is "lncRNA (ENSCJAG00000074114.1)". Lineage: Eukaryota; Metazoa; Chordata; Mammalia; Primates; Cebidae. The record is from RNAcentral.
GGAAGGAGGGAGGGAGGGAAGGAAGGAAGGAGGGAGGGAAGGAGGGAGGGAGGGAAGGAAGGAAGGAGGGAGGGAGGGAAGGAAGGAGGGAGGGAGGGAGGGAAGGAAGGAGGGGGGGAAGGAAGGAAGGAGGGAGGGAGGGAAGGAAGGAGGGAGGGAGGGAGGGAAGGAAGGAGGGAGGGAGGGAGGGAAGGAAGGAGGGGGGAAGGAAGGAGGGAAGGAGGGAGGGAAGGAGGGAGGGAGGGAGGGAAGGAAGGCAGGCAGGCAUGCCUAUGUGAUGAUUGCUAAAGUAGCAGAAUCUUAACUUCUCCAUCGCAAGUGAGUGGACUGUGCUGAGGCCCAUUCAGCCUGGAGUUCAUGUUCAGAGGCCUGUGGGAGCCUCUCAGGUGGCUGGCCCUUACCUGGCAGCAGAAGCAGCAACCAAGCAGGUGGCAGGGCAGAGACAGGGUAGGGGAUAGGAACGGAAAGGGAUGGAGAAAGAAGAAUGAAGGUAGUAAAAGUAGACUCAGGACAGAGUGAACAUUUGCUGAAACAUCAACAGAUUAGCAGUCCCUGUGAUGGCUGAAAAGUUCAAGGGCAAAGGUCAGCUGAAAAAUUGAUGCCAGAUUCUCUAAACGAAUGUUCCAUCCACCUAAGCUUGAACAUCCCACAGGUGGGUGAUAAUGGGCACAUAAGAACUCCCAUGGCCAGAACUGAAACUUCUCAUUCAAGUGCAAACCGGUCAAUUUCUUUCCUUUGUUCACUCUGCUCUCCUAAAACCGUCAUCCCAGUCUGCCUGCUGCAAAACUUGCCAAGUCAUGAGAGUGGACAGAAAGAAUUACUGCUGACAAGCAAAUUGUGA